Molecule: long non-coding RNA, 1558 nt
Organism: Macrobrachium nipponense
Lineage: Eukaryota; Metazoa; Arthropoda; Malacostraca; Decapoda; Palaemonidae
Exons: 3
Source: RefSeq, a predicted model, not a curated record
GUUUUGAAUUCGCGGGAAACGCGCGGUUGAGUCCUGGUGUUGUUGCUCCCGCCAUAUGUUGCAGUUUCGCGAGACUGGUGCGUCCACAAUCUGUGUGGGGAGGCAGCUGCGUCUUCAAGACUAAAAAUGGAGUUGGGUAGUGUAUGCCUAUAUUGAUGGUCCAGUGGCAAUCAGCUUGUCAGGUACAAGAACUUUAGGACGAAGUUAAAUUGCAGGUUCGUUGGAGAUCAACUUCUCAAGUAAAAACUUUGGAACGUAGACAAGAGUCUAAUAUUUGCUCCGGCAAAUACUGUCUCCAAACUUGACGGGUGAUCGGGUGCUGUAUUGAUGUAUGCCUAUGGACAAAAACCAUUGUAGUAGUGUCCGUGACUAUAUUCUUUAAUUAUAUACAUUAUUUUUUCAAAUUUUUUAUACCCAAAAUGUUUGGCAACUUUGCCCUUAACACGAGGUACAAGGGUAACAAACUGAUCGAAAAUAAAUGUUCCCUCUGUCUCGUAAUGCUUACGGAAACGUUGCACCGUAAUUAGAUAACCUGUUGGCUAGCAAAAAUGGCUACGUAUGUAAAGUAUGGUUUAUUUAAAUCGAUAUAGUGUUAGAUACAAAAUCUUGUAGGUAAAGCUAAUGUGGAGGCUUAUCGUUGGUCUGGAGUAAAUUUGACAUUUGUUGUCCGGUAAAAAAAAUCUUGAGCUUUGGUUCUUGCAUAAGCUCGCAAAGGAUUAAAUCCAUAUUCCGGUUAAUGAAGAGUUACUCCAUCUAUGCCUAAUAGUGCUUUAGGUCACGUGGUUAUGGUCCAUAUUUCCAUUACAUACCGGAAUAAGCACUAUCAAGGAACUUGCAUGCAUUAAUUAUCAGUCUUUGGUAGUUGUUAAACUUUACUUUGAGCAAUUUUGGAAGUCGAAAUGGAUCUAUUCAUGGAGAAGAAUGUUAGUUACUAUGUUAGUUCUUUUUUUUUUUUGGGUGGGGGUUGGGUGAGUACUGGUUGAAAUUAAGGGUAAUUUUGGCGUCUUCUUUUCGGCCAUUCAAAAUAAAUUUGUAAUCACGUCGACUUGGGUAAUUUAAGGCAUUUUAUUUCUCUAGAAGUCUUGAAUGAAUCUUUUUACCAUAGAGCAAACAAGUGAUUAAUGUUGUAAUUGAGUCAACAUGAUGGCUUUCCUACUGUGAUGAAACUUUACUCGGCAAACGCGUUGGCUUGAAGAUAUUACAUAUUAUGAAAUGCUAAACUACUAAUUGAUAGCAUUUUCAUGGGUGAAAUAAAGCCACUGAGUAGGAGUGCGUGAAAGUCGGAAAUUUGCAGAGUAGUGUAAAGAAGGCUACGGCAGAAACACAGGCUAAUGUAAUGUCAGCGAAAUGAUGUACGGGAACAAUAUUCUGUGGCAAAGACACUGCCUGCUGUAGUUUAUAGAACGGGUUGUCAGUGGUUGGAUUUGUAAAUUGUUUAAAGAGACUGAAAGCAAAUUAAGGGUACUGUAGGUGGAGAAAUAUGUGGUAGGACUAAUUAUCGAACAACGCUUCAGCGGAGGGUUUCUUAUGUGGCGAGUGUUUCUACACAGGGAUGCAA